Molecule: unclassified non-coding RNA, 299 nt
Organism: Echeneis naucrates (live sharksucker)
Lineage: Eukaryota; Metazoa; Chordata; Actinopteri; Carangiformes; Echeneidae
Rfam family: Metazoan signal recognition particle RNA
About the family: The signal recognition particle (SRP) is a universally conserved ribonucleoprotein.
Source: Ensembl
GCCGGGUGCGGUGGCGCGCGCCUGUAAUCCAAGUUACCGGGAGGCUGAGGCUGGCGGAGCGUUUGAGCUCAGGAGCUCUGGGCUGCAGCGGACUAUGUCGAUCGGGUGUCCGCACUAAGUUCGGUAUCGAUAUGGUGCUCCGGGGGGAGCCCCGGAUCACCAGGUCGCCUAAGGAGGGGUGCACCGGCCCAGGUCGGACACGGAGCAGGUCAAAGCCCCCGUGCCGCUCAGUAGUGGGAUCGCGCCCGUGAAUAGACGCUGUAGUGCAGCCUGAGUAAGACAGCGGGACCCAGUCUUUA